CCAAUCGAACUCGGAGAUAGCUGGUUCUCCCCGAAAUAGCUUUAGGGCUAGCCUCGUUUUAAAUUACCGGGGGUAGAGCACUGAAUGGGCUAGGGGGCCACAAAGCUUACCGAACCCUAUCAAACUUCGAAUACCGGAUAAUUGAUGAACGGGAGUCAGACGGCGGGAGAUAAGUUUCGUCGUCAAAAGGGAAACAGCCCAGAUCUACGACUAAGGUCCCGAAAUCACAGUUAAGUGGAAAAGGAUGUGCAGUUGCACAGACAACCAGGAUGUUGGCUUAGAAGCAGCCACUCAUUUAAAGAGUGCGUAAUAGCUCACUGGUCGAGUGAUUGUGCGCCGAAAAUGUACCGGGGCUAAACUGUGUACCGAAGUCUAGGGAUCGUGAUAAACGAUCGGUAGGGGAGCAACGUGUGCGGGCUGAAGCCGAAGCGAAAGCGACGGUGGACUGCACGGGAGAGAGAAUGCCGGCAUGAGUAGCGAGAGCAAAGUGAGAAUCUUUGCCGUCGAAAGCCUAAGGUUUCCUGAGGAAGGCUCGUCCUCUCAGGGUAAGUCAGGACCUAAGCCGAGGACAAAAGUCGUAGGCGAUGGACAACUGGUUGAUAUUCCAGUACCACCUUUAGCGUUUGACUGAAGCAGUGACACAGAAGGAUAGACAGAGCGCGUGACUGGUAGAGCGCGUCCAAGCGAUGAGGGAGUUAAGUAGUGAAGCACGCUUAACAAUCCUGGGUCGUGAUGGGGACUGAAAAUAAGUAGGGAAGCUGUUGAAUUCACGCUGGCGAGAAAAGCUGCUAAGGAGCGAAAGGGUGCCUGUACCGCAAACCGACACAGGUAGGCGAGGAGAGAAUCCUAAGACGAGCGGGAGAACCCAUGUUAAGGAACUCGGCAAAAUGACCCUGUAACUUCGGGAUAAAGGGAGCCACGAGAGUGGCCGCAGAGAAUAGGCCCAAGCGACUGUUUACCAAAAACACAGGUCUGUGCGAAGUAGAGAUACGACGUAUACGGGCUGACGCCUGCCCAGUGCCGGAAGGUUAAGGGGAAGUGUUAGGGCAACCGAAGCACGGAACUUAAGCCCCGGUGAACGGCGGCCGUAACUAUAACGGUCCUAAGGUAGCGAAAUUCCUUGUCGGGUAAGUUCCGACCCGCACGAAUGGUGUAACGAUUUGGGUACUGUCUCAACAAGGGACCCGGCGAAAUUGUAGUAUGUGUGAAGAUGCACAUUACCCGCGAUAGGACGGAAAGACCCCGUAGAGCUUUACUGUAGUUUAACAUUGGAUUUCGGUAACAUAUGUACAGGAUAGGUGGGAGGCGAAGAACCAGGGACGCCAGUUUCUGGGGAGCCGACCUUGGGAUACCACUCUUGUGUUAUUGGAGUUCUAACGAAUUGCCGUGAACCGGGAUUCGGACAGUGUUAGAUGGGCAGUUUGACUGGGGCGGUCGCCUCCUAAAGAGUAACGGAGGCGUCCAAAGGUUCCCUCAGAAUGGUUGGAAACCAUUCGCAGAGUGUAAAGGCAGAAGGGAGCUUGACUGCGAGACCGACAGGUCGAGCAGGUGCGAAAGCAGGGCUUAGUGAUCCGGCGGUAUGAGAGUGGAAUUGCCGUCGCUCAACGGAUAAAAGCUACCUCGGGGAUAACAGGCUUAUCUCCCCCAAGAGUCCACAUCGACGGGGAGGUUUGGCACCUCGAUGUCGGCUCGUCGCAUCCUGGGGCUGGAUUAGGUCCCAAGGGUUUGGCUGUUCGCCAAUUAAAGCGGCACGCGAGCUGGGUUCAGAACGUCGUGAGACAGUUCGGUCCCUAUCCAUCGUGGGCGCAGGAGAUUUGAGAGGAGCUGUCCCUAGUACGAGAGGACCAGGAUGGACGCACCAAGGGUGAAUCAGUUGUUCUGCCAAGAGCAUAGCUGGGUAGCCAAGUGCGGAUCGGAUAAACGCUGAAGGCAUCUAAGCGUGAAGCCGACCUCAAGAUAAGAUCUCCCACCAGAAAUGGGUAAGACCCCUGGAAGACUACCAGGUUGAUAGGUCGGAGGUGGAAGUGCAGCAAUGCAUGUAGCUGACCGAUACUAAUAGGUCGAGGGCUUGAUCAA
RNAcentral lists this ribosomal RNA (2076 nucleotides) under human gut metagenome. RNAcentral's name for it is "bacterial LSU rRNA". It matches the Rfam family "Bacterial large subunit ribosomal RNA", at positions 829 to 2925 of the family's 2925-position model. The record is from RNAcentral.